AUUGAACGCUGGCGGAAUGCUUUACACAUGCAAGUCGAACGGUAGAGGGGGGCAACCCCUUGAGAGUGGCGAACGGGUGAGUAAUGUAUCGGAACGUGCCCAGUCGUGGGGGAUAACGUAGUGAAAAUUACGCUAAUACCGCAUACGAUCUAUGGAUGAAAGCGGGGGAUCGCAAGACCUCGCGCGAUUGGAGCGGCCGAUAUCAGAUUAGGUAGUUGGUAGGGUAAAGGCCUACCAAGCCAACGAUCUGUAGCUGGUCUGAGAGGACGACCAGCCACACUGGAACUGAGACACGGUCCAGACUCCUACGGGAGGCAGCAGUGGGGAAUUUUGGACAAUGGGCGAAAGCCUGAUCCAGCCAUUCCGCGUGCAGGAUGAAGGCCCUCGGGUUGUAAACUGCUUUUGUACAGAACGAAAAGGUUUCUACUAAUACUAGGAGCUCAUGACGGUACUGUAAGAAUAAGCACCGGCUAACUACGUG
This 481-nucleotide ribosomal RNA is filed under the name uncultured bacterium. Its description in RNAcentral is "bacterial SSU rRNA". It matches the Rfam family "Bacterial small subunit ribosomal RNA", at positions 30 to 507 of the family's 1533-position model. The record is from RNAcentral.